GAGCUCAUUGAUCAUCAUAACAGAGUCUAUUGAAAGUCCUCAGCAGGCGGUGUGACGAUGUGACCAGCUCUGGCCAAGGAGCUGUAGGCAGAAGUGUCUUGCAGCAGCUCCUGUAAAUCUUAAAAGACAGCUGGUGCGUGUCUUUUUUCCUUUUUUUUUCCCUUCCCCCUUCCUGCUGCGCUGAAUAUGGAUAUGGUGAGUGAAUCUAGAGCAGCCAUUUGGAGGUAUGAAGAGAUCUUGGAAAUAGAGGCCAUGUGUGUUGAAACAAGACCGAACAACUCCAAGUUCCUGAAGACUUCAUUUCACCAACCCAGAACCUCCUUGAUCAUCACAGUGUUCAAAUGGUUUCCAGCAACAUUCCUACCACCUACUUUGCUGACACAAAGGUGCAUAAACAGAAGUCCUAUGUGGUCGAACCAUUUUACAUUUUCACCAGCAAUGAAGGAGGGUUCCUGUUGCUCUACCAUUUGGUACUGUCAGCGUUUUGGAUAUUAGCCGUCCUAAUAGCCUUUGCAUGGAUGAUUGUCUGUCCUCUGUUGGGCCCCUUCUGAAGAGUUGGAGUUGGACUCUGAAUACCUCAAGAGUGGGAGAUUGGUCUUGCCAAUCAGAGAAGCUCCAGGGCUAGCCUAGUGCCUGGCACAUGCUUUAUACAAUUAUUCCCAAAUCUUCUAAACUGACAGUGAGGGAGAGUAAUUUGAAAGGACUGCUCAACUCAACGUCAUUUGAAGAUUUGCACCACAGCUGCAUUUUUCCAAUUUCCUGGCAUCUAUUCUGCUCUCCUGGACUUUUCAAAAACAAUUUCUUUCAGAUCCCUGGAGGCCUCUCCCAGGGCCUGUGGUGUGGAGAGUUGGACUUGACCCUACUGUAAGAGACCCAACUUCCAAAGACUGCAUCAGAUGAAAGGCUCUCCAUAUAGACUACAGACUUGUCAGCUGGUUAAGGAGGCAAACAGAACAGUCUGCUACAAACUCCAGUCCAUGUAUCUGUGCUGAAAAUAAAAGGAGUCUUCAGGAAUCAAAGAAGAAAAUAUUUUUAUAAAGAAAUUUUAUUGCAUAAUUCUUGUAUACAAUAAACAUAGGAAAAGGGUUUUUAAUGAAAAUUCAUGUCAUUUUUCA
This 1115-nucleotide long non-coding RNA is filed under the name Homo sapiens (human). RNAcentral describes it as "PREDICTED lncRNA (TCONS_00063816)". The record is from RNAcentral. Lineage: Eukaryota; Metazoa; Chordata; Mammalia; Primates; Hominidae.